ACUGACCAGAGACCUGCAAUCCUUUGGAUGAAGAAGGCUACAUUUGUGAACCAUUUCUUGUGUUAGUUAAACAGGAGACAUGAAGAGUUCUUGAUGCUUUUGGUUUGCCUCAUCCAUUAUGUCGGAAAAGAACAGGAGUGGGGAAUGCACUGUUGACUGCAUGGCCAACUGGAGCACCCACAAGGCUCUUGUGAAGGAAGUCAACAAGCUCUUGUGCUUCAGAUUACAUGCUGUCCAUGCAUCUCAAAUUGAGAAGGAUGGAUGGAAAGAACUCUUUGACCAACCCCCAACUGAGAGAGCUGAGGUGGCUAUCAUUUGGAGACCCCCUGCUGCUGGUGCUGCUGAAACAGGUGGAGGCAGCAGCGAAGCGGAACAGAAAGAGAAGGCAGGUGGCAAAGGCCACGUAAACCUCCACAGCUACGCAGAUGAGACCCAAUUGUA
This is a long non-coding RNA of Alosa alosa (allis shad), 441 nucleotides long. RefSeq lists it as uncharacterized. The record is from RefSeq and is a predicted model, not a curated record. The transcript is spliced from 4 exons. Lineage: Eukaryota; Metazoa; Chordata; Actinopteri; Clupeiformes; Clupeidae.